RNAcentral lists this ribosomal RNA (494 nucleotides) under uncultured bacterium. Its description in RNAcentral is "partial 16S ribosomal RNA". It matches the Rfam family "Bacterial small subunit ribosomal RNA", at positions 28 to 507 of the family's 1533-position model. The record is from RNAcentral.
GACGAACGCUGGCGGCGUGCUUAACACAUGCAAGUCGAACGGAAAGGCCUGCUUUCCCUUGUGGAUUGCGGGUACUCGAGUGGCGAACGGGUGAGUAACACGUGAGUGAUCUGCCCCCAACUUGGGUAUAAGCCUGGGAAACUGGGUCUAAUUCCCGAUAGGACUGCAGGGUGGUGCCUGUGGUGGAAAACGAUUUUCUAGUGGUUGGGGAUGAGCUCGCGGCCUAUCAGCUUGUUGGUGGGGUAAUGGCCUACCAAGGCGGCGACGGGUAGCCGGCCUGGGAGGGUUGACGGCCACAUUGGGACUGAGAUACGGCCCAGACUCCUACGGGAGGCAGCAGUGGGGAAUAUUGCACAAUGGGCGGAAGCCUGAUGCAGCGACGCCGCGUGGGGGAUGACGGCCUUCGGGUUGUAAACUCCUUUCGACCGCGAGGAAGCCACCUGGUUGGAAGGGUGGUGACGGUAGUGGUAGAAGAAGCACCGGCUAACUACGUG